Molecule: long non-coding RNA, 223 nt
Filed under: Coffea arabica (coffee)
Lineage: Eukaryota; Viridiplantae; Streptophyta; Magnoliopsida; Gentianales; Rubiaceae
Description: long non-coding RNA (CARA_LNC007215)
Source: RNAcentral
CCUCACAGAACAAGAAAAAAAACACACAAGAAAAAAGGGAGGCUCUCGGCUCUCUCUCUUGGCUCUCAACCGAACAAAAAAAGAAAGAAAGCUCCUUCACUCUCUCGGCCAUAUCCCUCUCCUUGCUCACUUCACACAACAUACCCACACACUAUUCAGACACAAGGAGGCAGCCGCCGAUUGGACAAAGAGCUUGGAACUUCCUCAAAAUUUUAGUCAAGGG